UGGUGUGAAUGAUGAGAAGAUUCAAUAUUGUUACAGUUAUCCCUGUCUGAUCACUGUUGCUGACAAAUUGAUAUCUGACACAACA
Molecule: small nucleolar RNA, 85 nt
Organism: Corchorus capsularis
Lineage: Eukaryota; Viridiplantae; Streptophyta; Magnoliopsida; Malvales; Malvaceae
Rfam family: Small nucleolar RNA R38
About the family: snoR38 is a C/D box small nucleolar RNA conserved across yeast, human, Arabidopsis and rice. It is encoded in the intron of elongation factor-1 gamma in both pombe and cerevisiae. snoR38 guides the methylation of 2'-O-ribose sites in 28S rRNA.
Source: Rfam